UACAGAGACUGCAAGCGUUAUUCGGAUUCACUGGGCGUAAAGGGUGCGCAGGCGGCCGAGUGUGUGAGGCGUGAAAGCCCGGGGCUUAACCCCGGAAUUGCACCUCAAACUACACGGCUAGAGCAUUGGAGAGGGUAGCAGAAUUCAUGGUGUAGCAGUGAAAUGCGUAGAUAUCAUGGGGAAUACCAGAGGCGAAGGCGGCUACCUGGACAAUUGCUGACGCUCAGGCACGAAAGCGUGGGGAGCAAAAGGG
This 253-nucleotide ribosomal RNA is filed under the name uncultured bacterium. RNAcentral describes it as "partial 16S ribosomal RNA". It matches the Rfam family "Bacterial small subunit ribosomal RNA", at positions 524 to 776 of the family's 1533-position model. The record is from RNAcentral.